Molecule: RNA transcript, 9305 nt
Organism: Leptidea sinapis
Lineage: Eukaryota; Metazoa; Arthropoda; Insecta; Lepidoptera; Pieridae
Gene: bves
Gene name: blood vessel epicardial substance
Exons: 7
Source: RefSeq, a predicted model, not a curated record
CUGGGAGUGCUUUACUUUGUUUCUCUGAUUAAUUUUUAUUUUCGAAAAAGCUCAUGGACGCAGGCGAAUAAUUGAAAUUAACUAAAAGUAAAAUUUAUUAUCCUAACUUUUGAACCGUCGAUUUUAUAUAGAGUAAUUUUUGGAUGAAAACACUCGUAAAGUCCUCAGUAUAUGUUCAUAAAUAUUUUGAAAAUAUACGUAAAAUCUCUACAACCUGUCAGUACAUUUUUAAAACACCCAAAAAAUACUAAAGCUUGUUGCGUUGAAACCAAAAUUACUUGAAAAUAACGCGCAAAUGCCAAACGUCUUUGAGAAAACAUCGAUGUUCAAAUUGGACCGGGAGAUUCGCAAUCAGUGGGACUAUGCUUUUCCUGAGUGCCUUAGCGUUUGGGAUGUUUACUGGUUUGCAGAAUGUAAGCACCGAAGUGGCAAGCACGGACAGUGACAUCGUCUCGACGACCGUUUCUGAAAUGGGUCUGAUAGAGACAUCGAAAGCAACUGUGACGAGCGAUUUCGUUAACGUUACUAUUCAAGAACGUCCUUCGAUGUGGGAUAUGUACUUCAACCACUGUCCCAAGUGGAGGCCUAUUAACCAUGUGUUUUUCCAAGCAUCGAACAUAUUUUUUCUUCUGUCUUUUCUCGCGCCUCAUACGCCAAGUGGUCUGAUAUGGCUCCGAGUGGCUUUGAUCCUUGGCUGCACGUUUUCUGGACUGUGGGCUUGGAGUAUUGAGUGUUAUUUGGAUGCUGUGUUGUGGAACAGUGCAUUUAUAUUUAUAAACUUUGUGUACUUUGCUAUUCAAUUUUAUUUGAUGCGCCCUAUAAGAUUUCACAAGGAAAUUGAAGAGGUAUAUGUGGCGCUAUUCAAGCCGCUGCGAGUGUCGCGGCGCCAGUUCCGGCGCGUGCUGCAGUGCAUGCGCAAUGUACGGCACCUCAAGUGCCACGAGCUGUACGCGCACGAGAAGGUCACCAAGGUGGACAGCCUCUCGCUCGUGCUCUCCGGGAAGCUGGUGGUGUCUCAGAACCAGCGCGCGUUACACAUUGUAUUUCCGAACCACUUCCUGGACUCGCCUGAAUGGUUCGGUGUGUCAACUGACGAGUUCUUUCAGGUGUCCAUAAUGGCAAUGGAAGAGUCCCGAGUGCUGGUGUGGCACCGGGACAAGUUAAAGUUGUCCAUAAUGUCUGACGCGUUCCUUCAGACCGUGUUCGAUCACAUUCUGGGACGAGACGUCGUUCACAAGCUGAUGCAGGUGAGUGAAACGAUGGCGGUGAGCAACGGCCACCUGCCGAACAGCUACGAGGACGGUGAGGACAAGCCGAUGCUGAUCGUGAAGAAGUCCGGAGACGGGCCCGGGAUUACCGCGCUGCUCAACAGACAGCUACAAGGCGAACACGCUCCACUGCUACGAGCGCCGUCCACGCAAAGCUGCUGAAUUAACGCCAUCCCCUCAUCCCCACCUCUCAGAGCCUCAUCCCCCAUUGCAUCCCCAUUAAAUAUCAAUAUUCAUUAUUAAUAUGCUUUAUAUGCAUGACUAUGGCAAGCUUUUGUUGUUUCUAAGUGUAGUCUAGCCCCCUUAUUCAUAAUGGUCCGCUAACUUUAAACAGCCGCUUAGGAGUGUUUUUUUCUCAUUCUGACUUAGGUCAAUAGAAGAAGACAGAGUGAGAAUUAGCAAUGCUUUAAGUAAGAAGACUAUUAUGAAUAAGGGGGUAGGUGUAUAAUUUUAUGUAUUUGUUUCGUGUAUUAACUUUACUAUCUACUUAACUUUUAUUAUACACUAUACUCGUUUUAAUUAUAUGAUUGUAAUUAUUAUGACGGGUACCCACGAUAUAUAUUUUAUUAAUUUGAUGUUUGCGUAAAAUUAAAAGAAAUAUUUAUUCAUCAUAAUUAUCUGUCACUUACAAAAUUUUGUCAAACAAUUCAAAUUAAAGGAAAUUAAAGGCAAGGCACACUCUCGUUGCCUUUUUCCGGCAAACUGAUUUAUUAAAUCAUUUAUACCUGAUGAUGACUUUAGUUUUUUUGUCAUUUUUGUCAUUUCUGAAAUAAAAAAAAAUUGGGAAGUUUUUAUUAAUUUUUGCUUGCGCACGUCGGGGCCUAAAAGUUUAAAAACAUAUAAUAAUAUGAUGUCUUAAAUUUUGUAUGAUAUCAAAAUAUAAAUGUAAAUUCCGGAGUGAUUGCAUGUAUGGUAAACAUAAAAAGACGAGGCUGAUAAGACAAAUACUUGGCAUUAUUGAGUAAAUAAUAAAAAAGGUAGCGAAAUAGGUACCCUUGAUGGAAAACCUCCGAUAUAUCCAAAACUACUGUUAUUAUUUAUACAAAAGAGGUUGAUAAAUAUAUAAUGAGGGAGAUGAAAAGUGAGAUAUGGUUUCACUUUCUGGGAUGAAAUAACUUAUGGUUACCUAUAUGGGUUUGGCUAGAAGGGGUGUCGUAAGAAAUAAUGUCUACUUAGAUUAAGGAUUGGUCUCCAACUACUACUACUCCCAAGUGGACGUACUCGAGCCAGUCUCGAACAAUGUGUGACGUUGACCUUUGAGUUUUAUAUAUAAAUAAUACUAAGAGAAAUAAGAAAGACACUGGGGAUAACAUAUCGUCAUUAAUUAUUUUGUGUUUUAUUAAUUUUAAUGUAAAAUAACACGUAUAUUACAAAAUUUGAAAGACGCCAUUGAGUUUCAAGAUGCCACGGACACAAGCAUCUAAUAGUUAAUUUAAUUUAAAAAAUAAUUUAACAUUCGUGCAAAACACAAUAUAAAAUGUUAUAUCGUAUGUUGGUUUAAGAUAGGGACAUCUAAUUACGAUUAAGAAUAUUAAUAGCUUUAUUUUUUUUUAAUUUAUAUUGAAGCUUUGUCGAUCUUACAUUUUCGACCAUGCCGUCCUCAAUGAAAAUUAAAAUCUUAGUCAUUUCAUUUUGUAUCUAACUCAGGUUACGUUACUAAUAUUAUAUUUAACUAUGUUGUCUUAUACGCACACAGUGUACCUUGUUAAGUUAUAUUUACCAUUGCUAUAAAUUAAGUAGUCGUCCAGGUAGUGGCGAAGCGGGGCCCCGUAAAAGAAAAAAAAAUGCUUGCAUAAAAUUAAAAGAAAUAUUUAUUCAUCAUAAUUAUCUGUCACUUUUUCCAAAAAUUUUUCAAACAAUUAAAAUUAAAGGAAAUGAAAGGCAAGGCACUCCUUGCCUUUUUUCGGCAAACUGAUUGAUUAAAUCAUUUAUACCUGAUGAUUAGUUUAGUUUUUUUGUUAGAUUUCUUUAAUUUUUGUCAUUUUUGAAAUAAAAAAAAAUUGGGGAGUAUUUAUUAAUUUUUGCUUACGCACGUCGGGGCCCCCCGCGGCUAGAGGGCCCCGUAUAAUUGAUGCGGCAGAUACGGCGGUAGCUACGCCCCUGCGUGUAGGUAUUUUUGAGUACAAAUUCAAUCCAUAUUACUUAUAGAUGUAGUAUUUAAUUUUGAUAUUAUAGAUAUAGAUAUAGUAAAUAAUAGUUGUAUGUAUUCAUAAUCACAGUUACCUUUUUUCAUGUAUCUAGGUUAGCACAACCGUGAUCUAUUGAACACUCACAAACUCAUAUCAAUGCCUAUUGUAUUAAUAUGAUAAAUGCUUGCUUUAUAUCUGCAUGAAUAUGAAGAAAUUAGAUUUUUUAAGACAACUUUGCCUAAUAUGAUAAAAUUGCAUAAUUCUAAAAUAACCUCUAUUAAAAUUGUUCUUCAUUUUAGUUGUUCAGAAUUAAAGUGAAUUUUGCAUUGUUAGGAAAUUUGAAAAAUAUCAUGUUACAUUUUACGCGAAAUUUUUAAUGCAUACAAUUAAAAUGAAAAACGUAGUUUUUGUUAAUAAUCCUUCAAACCAUGACUAAACAAAGGCUGUAUAUAAAUUUAAGGCUCAUUAAAAAAUCUAAGCAUAUAAAGAAACAACCGAUUUUUUUUUUCAAAUUUUAUAUUACCUAAUUAUAGCCUACUUUGUGUGUUAACCACCUUAUUUAUUACCAAUGAUAUUAGAUACGUUAUAUAUUCACAAAACAACUGUAAAAAAUGUAGCGCAACACACUGACAAGAUGUAAAAAGGAUGGCAUUAUUAAAACAAUAAGGAAAAAAGAAGACAGCUAGUGUUUGUCAAUUGUGCAUAAGUGUAACGUUCCUUCAAAAUGCGUCGCAAUUAGGACACUUUCGAGUUACGCUAUGCGCGCACUAAUGACUAAAUAGUACUAAUAAUAUGUAAUAUCAUUGACUCAUAUCUAAUAUCUUGGUCAAGAUAAACAGGCUUGACUGUCACUUUAUUAGUUUCAUGCAUAAUGUUUUCAUAUAGGUAACUUGCUUUUCGUUUGAUUCUUAGUUAUAAUAAUAUAAUUUGACUCGUCAGGUUAGUGUAUCUUGACCUAACGUAACUCUGUAAUAUUUCUAACGCCUGCCCUAGUUCUAUUAUAUUAUUACCGUAUACCCUACUUGCCUUUCUUCUCAAAAAUCCCAAGCAUGUUUGGCAGACCCGAGACAUUCAGCUGCUGAUCCUAACGCGUGGCGGCUUGGUAGAAUAGAAGAGGUGGAUCACGAGACACCAGUCUGAGGGCACGCGUUGCACCUAGCGGUCAGGUCAUAUAAACGUGAUCCCCGCUAGGGCAAUAUUGACUCUGCGUACAUGAAAAUAUGCUCCCUAGUUGUGUUCAUUGGACGGCCGAAUGGGUGGUACGCGUUGUUCAGUUGCAAUAAUACAAUGUUGUUUAUGUGACUCUAUGGUAGCUGUCAAGCGUGACGUUCGCGGGUUUUUUGAAUUUCGAAUUGUGAUUUUAUGUUGUAUUUGAUCUCUUUUCUUCUGAUUUGCUUUUUAUAAGAUUGGCUAUGGUUAUCAUCCAAUAACAAUCGGGUAGCUACCCAAUUAAUAAUAUUUAAUUGCUUGAAUUAACUUGAAAUGCUUUUUCAGCACAUUUGACAGGCCACCGUAACUGGAUGGGUGAUAUUGUAUUAUUAUUGUUAGGAGAAGAACUAUUAUCGUUUAUAUCAUAGAACAAUCUUAUAUUAACAAAUUAGGUAUUCAGAAUCCAUUAUUUUGUUAACUACAUAUUAUAUUAAAUAUAGAUAUUUAAUUAGACUGAAGAUGAUGAUAUGUUUUGAUGGAACUGAUUGUAAAUAUAUAUUGUAUUUAAAUGUACAAAAGUAGUGUAUUGGUUUUGUGUGAAUGUUGUUUUAUUGGUGAUAAGAAGUGGUGACAUAUUAUCACAGCAAUAAUAUUUGUAGAUGAGUUAAAAAGCUUCUAUGCCCGGGACAUAUUUAGUAAUUAUUCUUUACCAAUACUAGAAUAUAAACAUAAAACAGAGGGUGCAAUCCUGAUGGUAGGCAUAUGAAGGUAUAAUAGAAUUUUACUCAAAAUCAUAUUGCUUUUUGCGCCAAAUAUCACAUAUACAUGACUUGACAAUACUUUAUUUUACUUAUUUGUAUCCUGACAUUUUCUAUUUAAAAAAAAUAUUUGGACAUGACAUAUACAGGCUGUCCAAGAAUAGGUGGGACAAGGGUAAAUGGGAAUGACUUUGGACUAUGAGCUUUCAGUUAACAAAAAAAAAUUGGGUGUUACGGUUUUUGAGUUAUUGAAAUUUGAAAUAAUAGAUUUAACAAAAAAUUGAUUCGGUGAAAUUAACAUUUACUGUCAUGAAAGUGUGCAUUGAAUUUACAAAAAAAUUCACACCUUUAUUUUAAAAGUAGGUAAAUUGUUUUCACACUUUUGUCAAGUCAUUUUUGCAAAUGAUACCAUUUUAGUACCUCAUUAAUUGAGCAAGUUUUUAAGAUAGUUACACAAAUCAAGUCUAUUUAUUAUACAUACAAAUCAUUGCGAUCAUUGAUUUGAUUGAUUGAAGAUUUUAGGUUAUUUAGAUCAUUUUUUAGUAACAAUACAACGGACACGGGGUAUCACUUUUUCCAUAUUUCAAAUAAGCUCUAAUGAUUAAUACUCAAAAACCGUCGAACUUUAAAGUAACUUUUUUUGAUUAUCUAAAAGCUCAUAGACCAAAGUCAUUCCCAUUUACCUUAGUCCCACCUAUUCAUGGACGCCCAGUAGAUGUCUCGACAUAAUGUACAAGCAGAAGUUGAACAUUCAUCGUAAAUGCAUCAAUCAUUUUUUGUCGCACAAUAAUAGUGAUUCAUUUGAUUUAAAUUGGUUAUGAUUUCUUAUAAUUUGUACAGCAUUCUUUGUGAUUCCUAAUAUUGUUUGCGCUUUUUUUAUUCCACUUUUAUCUAAAUACGCACAAGUAUUGUUAGAAACAAUAGUUGAUGAAGGAUUUUAAUCUCUACUACACCAAUAAAUUACUAUGAAAAAUACUUUAUCAGCAAUAUAUUUGCAGGAAUGUAUUUAUUAUUUAAUGAACAAUAUUAUUAUAAUUCAGAUCCAUUACUUUCAGAUGUUCAUUGGCGUAUUAAUUGUGUUUUCAUACUGUCUGGUACACAGUGGAUUAUGGUUGCUUUACUUAUUAUAUGAGUAAAAUAACCCUUAAUUAUGUUGUGUUUAGUAUGUAUUUUUGUAGUUUUUAUAGGUACUACAAAAAUAAAACAUACCUACCAAUAUACAGAAGAGCCUCAAUAAUCUGAACUACCAAAAACUAACCCCUGUUUAUAGUAUGUUAAAAAAAUGCAAGUAUAUUUUCACAAAAUAUAUUUACUAUAGUUUAAGAGAAAACAUAAGAUCAGCUAACGGUAAGGGAGAGAGAGGGGCAGUCGGCAGUUCAGAUUAGCCAGAGUACGGAUUAUUUAUCCAGGCUCUACUGUAUAUAUUUCCACUUCACAAACUGAUGGACAAUUGUUGACAAAUAUGAUGUAUAUGUUACGGGCAAUUUGAUAAGUCCGGGCACUAUUAAUAAUGGCCGGUCUGUAUUCAUAAUGCCCGACUCAAUUGGACAAUGUGACUAAAACAGCAUGACUAAUCACUUUUCCCGGCCAUUAUGAAUAAUGCCCACCCUAUCUUGGGCAAAGUAAUAAAAUAGGUGAACUGUAGUGUUUUUGUUUAUUAAUUGAAAUUAAACUUACAAAAUUAUCAUGAAAAGUUAGCAAAAAAUAAACUAUUGAACAAAGUAGUUAAAAAAUAAACAGUUAAAAAUGUAAUAACAUCAUUAGUUAACUACUUUUAUUUUGACAAGUAUAUUACUUUACAAAAAAUAGUUUAAAAAUUAGUAAGCUGAGAAAAAUCAACAAAAAUAUCUAUUAAGGACUGUGCAAGAAAGUUAUUAAGAAAGUAAUAAGUGAUAAAUUCAAGCUAUCUCAAACACUGACUUAUUACAUGGACCACGGGCCGUCGGGCAUUAUUAAUAAUGGCCGGUCAAAGUGAUAAAUUAAUCACUUUGCCCAUCGCUCUUGGACAUUAUUAAAAAUGGCCGGUCCUUAUUAAUAAUGCCCAGUUAAUCACGUUGCCCGUAACAUAUACAUUUAGACUAAACAUUCCAUAUUAUUGUAGUUUACCAGAUGUAUGAAUUAAUUGAUUUAUAAACCUAACAGUAUUGAAGCAGAAUUUAUAACAAAAUGACAUUGUUUAAAUCCAAUCCUUUAAUAUUCCUUUGAUAAGUUAUACGUCUAGAUAGAGUCUCUUAAUGUUAUACAACCGAUAAAAACAGGCGAGGAAAAUUAGCUUAGUGUGUGUGACAAGCAAUGUCCUACACUCGAUUUGUAUGACACUUUGUGUUAGUGCAUUGCUCAAAAUAGAGGUUAGUUCAAAACACAAUUUUUUUCGACGUUUUUACAGCUGUCACAGUCUAUCUAGAUGUAUAAAUGAUCUAAGAUCUGAUCUAAUAUUCAUUCUGCAAAAGAAAUGUUCCUAAGCAUUUUAGUGGAAAACAAUAGAUAACAUUUAUAACUGUCUUAAAUAUUAUGUGUUGUUUAUUGUAAAAGCUAUAUUUCAGCCUAAUUUUAAUGAAUGUAUGAAUGUUCAAUGUAACAACAUCAAUAUGUUAUAAAAUCAAUUAAUCAAAAAUAUAUUGUUAAAAGUUAUCUAAUUUAAUAUCAUAAACACACUGCCAUUGCCAAUGUAUGAAACUGUUAUGUGUUUUAAAUAAUAAAUUGUGGAUUGAAGGAUGUGAGAUAAGUAUUGCUGCAUAAUGCCAAAAUUAAGAUUUUCUCAACUCAGACACUCCACCAUCAAAAUAAGAUGUCAUAUCAUCAAUACCUACUCAUUGUUUGACAGUUCUCUUGGCUGUACAUUCCACCCAAAUGUCAAGAUAUAUUUUAAAUUAUUAUGGACGAAAAAAUAUUUUUGGCUGGAUUAGAGAUGGUUGUGAAUAAUGGUCAGACAAAACAAUGUUUAGGAUACUUAUUAUGGUAUAAUAAAUAUUCAUUUUUAUGUUCUUGAUAAUGUGUCAAGUGCAAAAGAUAUAACAGUAGACUAUCCCCACUUACGGCCGUUUUCAAUAUACUUAUCUAUCCUUAGUUUAACUUACGAGAGGUAGACAAAUCUAUCAUUUUAGGCUUAGUUACAUUUCAAUACCUAUCGACAUAAAGCAUUGGACUAUAACUAUAUUGGACUUAACUAUGGAUAGAUAAGAUCUUGUCAUUAAACGGUGAUAGCAAUGUAUCCGUAACUAGAGAUACGUUAUUGAUAACGGCCGUUAGAUAAUUUAUAUGUCUAGAUAGUGUCUUGCUGUUAAACAACUGAUAAAAAGGCCGGGCAUAUUAGUUUAGUGUGCGUGACAAGCAACGACUUACACUCGCGAUUUGUAUAACACUAUAUAUUAGUGUGCGUGAAUUGCUCAAAAUAAAGGUUAGUUCUAAAGUCUAUUUUUUUUUCGACGUUUUCACAGCUGCCAUAGUCUAUCUAGGCGUAUAAAUGAUCUAAGGUGUCUCCAUUAUAAUGAGGAUUAAUACCAAUGUCUUUUUGAAUCGGUUUGUACAUUUAUUUGACACAUAAAAGGUCAGCAACUCUCAAGUUGACACCUAUGGUGUUACAUGAGAGUAUGUACUGAGGUGAUCACAUCCCAUUCGGUGAACCUGUAUGUAUACUUCAUUUGUCCUUCUCUUCUAUAAAAAAAUUGUGAGAAAUAUAUCUAGUUCCAAUGCUUGUAAUUGAAAAAAAACCAAGAUUAACAUAGUUUUUAUUCUAUAGUUUCAACCAGAUAUAUUUUAAAUUUCUCUCAUUGAUACUUGCUGGCCCCACUGAAAUAAAAUAAAAUCUGAGGUCUGAUAACAUAAUCUUAUGAGAAAAAAAUAUUUUACCAAUAACGAGAGAAAUUGUUUUUGAUGAUGGAGUUGUAUUUGUGGAAUGCCUUAACAAGUUGCCAUGUGUAAUAAGUGUGUGCCUGAUCACUGAAGUCAUUGUAGUGUGUGUGAGAUAGACAUAAAUAAAAUAACUAUUGAAUUGUGUAAAA